CUCGCCUCCAGGGUGGGUCUGCUACUAAUAGGGUGUGUGGCCUUGUUCAAGUGCCUUGUCUUCUCUGGGGCUUGAUGGCUUUUUCUACAAAAUGAGAAGGGUGACAACACUCACCACCCAGAGAAGUGACGCAGAGAUUCACUUUUGGAGACUGGUUCUACUGGAAUGAUGAAAGUUUUAUUUUAUUUUUUAUUCACCAGAGAGGCAAUCCAGGGGGUCAGAUUUCACAUCGUUCUUUAAAAAUAAAGGAGUUAGGCUAGCUCCCGGCUUCUUACCCUGUGGGUUGUGUAACAAUGUGGGGGUUGAAAAAUUAUGAUUUCUCAUCAGUAAAAGUUUGAUUUGUACACCUAUUUUACACACCCUCUAUACCUAGGGUCACCUUUUCUCAGGCGACAGGGAAUUGUGUGUGGAAAAAAAUCUCAGAGACCCUGGUCUGGAUCACAGAUUCUUAAGCAUGGAUCACCUUGACAGUCUGAUUGAAGCCUAUGGGAUCAUGUUUUUAAAAGCAUAAAAUAAAAUCCACGGGAUUACAAAGGAACCUGAUUAUACGAUGAUGAUUAUAUUAAAAUCAACAACCACCCACCUAGUUAGUUCAUAGAGUCCGAGUUAAGAACACCUGGAGCUUUGUACAUUUAGGACUUUUUGGAACUAAGUACUCCAAGCUCUGCUGACUUAGAAUGUUGGCAUCGCACAGGCCCUGGCAGCUUUAGACCAAUCACAACCACCGUGGAUUUAAUGUGAGCUGAUGAACGAUGCCAUCCCUGUCCAAAUGGCUCUGAAGCCUGAGAUGGAACGCGCUAAGAGAACUGGGCCUGGCUUCCAAAAUUCGAGCUGGUGUUACCCUUUUCCCCCGACCUUUGUUUUUGCAUUUUCAAAACAAGUUUGGCUCACUGUGUCGGAGAUGGAAGAGGAUAAAUUUGGAAAUGACAGUGAUAUAAAACAAAAGGUGAGGAAAUAAGCGGCAAACUCACACCCCGUCCCCUGGUCUAGAGUUCUUUCCAGAGCACAGCCUGUCAUGGGGCAUUGUCAACAAGGGGAUUUGGGCAAGACCUUUCAGAACGUUUUCUUGUCAAUAAAAUGGGAUCAACUGUU
Long non-coding RNA from Antechinus flavipes (yellow-footed antechinus), 1092 nucleotides. RefSeq lists it as uncharacterized. The transcript has 3 exons. NCBI's taxonomy places the organism in Eukaryota, Metazoa, Chordata, Mammalia, Dasyuromorphia, Dasyuridae. The record is from RefSeq and is a predicted model, not a curated record.